Molecule: ribosomal RNA, 253 nt
Filed under: uncultured bacterium
Lineage: Bacteria
Description: partial 16S ribosomal RNA
Rfam family: Bacterial small subunit ribosomal RNA
Source: RNAcentral
UACGUAGGGACCGAGCGUUGUCCGGAAUCAUUGGGCGUAAAGAGCGUGUAGGCGGCCUUUUAAGUCCUGCGUGAAAUCCUGCGGCUCAACCGCAGACGGUCGUGGGAAACUGGAAGGCUAGAGUGCGGGAGAGGAGAGUGGAAUUCCCGGUGUAGCGGUGAAAUGCGCAGAUAUCGGGAAGAACACCCGUGGCGAAGGCGGCUCUCUGGAACGCAACUGACGCUGAGACGCGAAAGCGUGGGGAGCAAACGGG